GCAAGUCGAACGCGAAAGUACUCUUCGGAGUGCGAGUAGAGUGGCGCACGGGUGAGUAACGCGUAGAUAAUCUACCUCUAUAUUUGGGAUAACAUCGGGAAACUGGUGCUAAUACCGGAUACACUCUUAAAUAUGCGAGUAUUAAAGAGGAAAGGUGACCUCUCCUUGGAAGUUGCUGUAUAGAGAUGAGUCUGCGUACCAUUAGCUAGUUGGUGGGGUAAUGGCCUACCAAGGCGACGAUGGUUAGCGGGGUCGAGAGGCUGAAC
RNAcentral lists this ribosomal RNA (266 nucleotides) under uncultured bacterium. RNAcentral describes it as "partial 16S ribosomal RNA". It matches the Rfam family "Bacterial small subunit ribosomal RNA", at positions 57 to 305 of the family's 1533-position model. The record is from RNAcentral.